This 717-nucleotide ribosomal RNA is filed under the name uncultured Bacteroidales bacterium. RNAcentral's name for it is "bacterial SSU rRNA". It matches the Rfam family "Bacterial small subunit ribosomal RNA", at positions 28 to 733 of the family's 1533-position model. The record is from RNAcentral. Lineage: Bacteria; Pseudomonadati; Bacteroidota; Bacteroidia; Bacteroidales.
GAUGAACGCUAGCUACAGGCUUAACACAUGCAAGUCGAGGGGCAUCAGUUUGGUUUGCUUGCAAACCAAAGCUGGCGACCGGCGCACGGGUGAGUAACACGUAUCCAACCUGCCUCAUACUCGGGGAUAGCCUUUCGAAAGAAAGAUUAAUAUCCGAUAGCAUAUAUUUCCCGCAUGGGUUUUAUAUUAAAGAAAUUCGGUAUGAGAUGGGGAUGCGUUCCAUUAGUUUGUUGGCGGGGUAACGGCCCACCAAGACUACGAUGGAUAGGGGUUCUGAGAGGAAGGUCCCCCACAUUGGAACUGAGACACGGUCCAAACUCCUACGGGAGGCAGCAGUGAGGAAUAUUGGUCAAUGGACGCGAGUCUGAACCAGCCAAGUAGCGUGAAGGAUGACUGCCCUAUGGGUUGUAAACUUCUUUUAUAUGGGAAUAAAGUGGUCCACGUGUGGAUUUUUGUAUGUACCAUAUGAAUAAGGAUCGGCUAACUCCGUGCCAGCAGCCGCGGUAAUACGGAGGAUCCGAGCGUUAUCCGGAUUUAUUGGGUUUAAAGGGAGCGUAGGCGGAUUGUUAAGUCAGUUGUGAAAGUUUGCGGCUCGACCGUAAAAUUGCAGUUGAUACUGGCAGUCUUGAGUGCAGUAGAGGUGGGCGGAAUUCGUGGUGUAGCGGUGAAAUGCUUAGAUAUCACGAAGAACUCCGAUUGCGAAGGCAGCUCACUGGA